AUACUUAACCUGGCAGGGGAGAUACUGUGAUCACAAAGGUGAUUUUCCCAGGGUCAGGCUUAUCCAUUGCACCCCGAAUGUGCUGACCCUGUGGUUUCUCCAAAUGUGGGAAACUCGACUGCAUAGUUUGUGGUAGUGGAGGACUGCGUUCAUGCUAAA
Small nuclear RNA from Sapajus apella (tufted capuchin), 159 nucleotides. RefSeq annotates it as U1 spliceosomal RNA. The record is from RefSeq and is a predicted model, not a curated record. NCBI's taxonomy places the organism in Eukaryota, Metazoa, Chordata, Mammalia, Primates, Cebidae. The transcript has a single exon.